CCCCGGUGGCGAAAGCACCGGCUCGGUGCUGGUUUGAGGCGGGCGAGUGAUACAACUUGAGACGCACGACAUGGACCACGUCGGAGCGAUGCUGAGCCACGGUUAGAUCAAGAGGGGCGAUUUCGUACGUGACGUCAGUUACUUUACGCAAGACACGGUAAGGGCCAGAGUAGCGUGAAAGUAACUUCUCCGAGAGGCCAAUGCGUCAUGGACGUCACGAUGGCGGGCGACAUAUAAGCGCCGCUGAUUGUCCUGCGACUCCAAAAGUCGACGUCGGGCAAUAUGGCGUGCUUCUUGAGCUUUGAGUAUGGCUUCACGGGUGUACUCGGACGUGGAAUUCAGGCUAGCAGGCAGAAUGGUGUCGAAAGGUAGCGAGGGUCGCGGCCAAACAAGAGGAAGAAUGGAGAGAAGCCGGCGGUAUCAUGGCGAGACGAAUUAUAGGCGAAAGUAACGAACGGCAGCGCAACGUCCCAGUCGCGAUGGUCAGCGGAGACAUACAUGGACAGCAUGUCAGUAAGGGUGCGGUUAAGGCGCUCGGUUAGACCGUUCAUUUGUGGAUGGUAAGCAGUAGCAAGUUUGCAUUUAGUCGCGCACGAGUGCAGAAUGUCGUUGACAACUUUAGAAAGUAGCGGCCGCGGUCGGUGAGGAGCUGUCGAGGGGCGCCGUGGUGAAGGAUGACGUUCUCUAGGAGGAAUUCGGCGACAUCGGUUGCACAGCUUGUCGGAAGAGCCCGUGUGAUUGCAUAUCGGGUGGCGUAGUCUGUUGCUACAGCAAUCCACUUGUUUCCCAAAUCAGACAUAGGAAAAGAGCCUACAAGAUCAACACCUACACGGAAGAAUGGUUCUGAUGUGCCACAGCUGUGGCGAACCAAUCCCACUAUGUCUACUCAGCUAGACACCGAUGCUAAACCCAGAGAGCUAGCUCUACAUGCUACACGUGCAAGGUGCUGCACAUCUGGACGUGUUUGUCCACUGCACCAAAUACAAGAUACAUUGGAGUCUUUUGCCAAGCCCCAACUACUUCAGAGCAUUUCUCCAGUAGAGGAACCACAAGUGCCCAGCAUUGCUCAGGAGCAACACCUCAUUGUCUUCCUAAAUAAACAUUUUUUCUCAAA
Molecule: long non-coding RNA, 1114 nt
Organism: Dermacentor andersoni
Lineage: Eukaryota; Metazoa; Arthropoda; Arachnida; Ixodida; Ixodidae
Source: RefSeq, a predicted model, not a curated record